RNAcentral lists this microRNA precursor (133 nucleotides) under Gossypium hirsutum (cotton). RNAcentral describes it as "MIR7502 microRNA precursor family". It matches the Rfam family "MIR7502 microRNA precursor family". The record is from Rfam by way of RNAcentral. Lineage: Eukaryota; Viridiplantae; Streptophyta; Magnoliopsida; Malvales; Malvaceae.
UACUAAAAAUUUUAUUUAUUUCUUCAAUUAAAAAUUGACAUGACUAAUGCAAUACCAAGAGAAAUACAUGUGCAAUCCCAUUUUGCCGUACAAGGACCAGUUUUAUCAGUAGAAAUAGAUGGAUUUUUUAACA